Molecule: long non-coding RNA, 384 nt
Filed under: Suricata suricatta (meerkat)
Lineage: Eukaryota; Metazoa; Chordata; Mammalia; Carnivora; Herpestidae
Description: lncRNA (ENSSSUG00005018739.1)
Source: RNAcentral
UCAAUGAUACUCUGGAACAAGGUUAUUCAUUCAACCAUGUUUAUUGAUUCUGUUCUGUAUGUCAAGUACCUUUGAAUAAAGACUGAUAGAGGAACCCUGUUGAAGUCUAUAAAUUUGUGUGAGACUUGUGUGUUUAAAAGGCAUACAGAGAAUUCUCAUUUGAGAAUCUCUUCUGGAAAACGACGGAAUAACUGGACACCAAACAAUUUACAAACGUCUACAACUCCCUACAUCCCCCGGAGCCUUGCUGCAGUGAUGAUGAUUUCACAGACAAGGUCGGCUCCGGGCUGUGUUCUGACAGAGAGGAACGUUUUUAACCAGAGACCACCAGAAAGCUCCUUGAGGCCGAAUGAGUUCAGAGACCUGUUUCUCCAGUUUGCCUGA